Molecule: ribosomal RNA, 500 nt
Filed under: uncultured bacterium
Lineage: Bacteria
Description: partial 16S ribosomal RNA
Rfam family: Bacterial small subunit ribosomal RNA
Source: RNAcentral
AUUGAACGCUGGCGGAAUGCUUUACACAUGCAAGUCGAACGGCAGCACGGACUUCGGUCCGGUGGCGAGUGGCGAACGGGUGAGUAAUGUAUCGGAACGUGCCCAGUCGUGGGGGAUAACGUAGUGAGAAUUACGCUAAUACCGCAUACGAUCUAUGGAUGAAAGCGGGGGAUCGCAAGACCUCGCGCGAUUGGAGCGGCCGAUAUCAGAUUAGGUAGUUGGUGGGGUAAAGGCCCACCAAGCCAACGAUCUGUAGCUGGUCUGAGAGGACGACCAGCCACACUGGAACUGAGACACGGUCCAGACUCCUACGGGAGGCAGCAGUGGGGAAUUUUGGACAAUGGGCGAAAGCCUGAUUCAGCCAUUCCGCGUGCAGGAUGAAGGCCCUCGGGUUGUAAACUGCUUUUGUACAGAACGAAAAGGUUUCUACUAAUACUAGGAGCUCAUGACGGUACUGUAAGAAUAAGCACCGGCUAACUACGUGCCAGCCGCCGCGGUAA